RNAcentral lists this ribosomal RNA (494 nucleotides) under Papilio machaon (common yellow swallowtail). RNAcentral's name for it is "partial 16S ribosomal RNA". Lineage: Eukaryota; Metazoa; Arthropoda; Insecta; Lepidoptera; Papilionidae. The record is from RNAcentral.
GUCUUUUUGAAAAUAAUUUAAAGUCUAAUCUGCCCACUGAUAAAUAUAUUAAAGGGCUGCAGUAUUUUGACUGUACAAAGGUAGCAUAAUCAUUAGUCUCUUAAUUGGUGACUUGUAUGAAAGAUUGGAUGAAAUAUAAACUGUCUCUAAUUAAUUUAUAAAAUUUAAUUUUUUAGUAAAAAAGCUAAAAUAAUUUUAAAAGACGAGAAGACCCUAUAGAGUUUUAUAAUUUGUUUAAUUAUUAUUAAUAUGUAAAUUUUAAAAUUAAAAUUAAAUAAAUUAUUUUGUUGGGGUGACAGAAAAAUUAAAUUAACUUUUUUAGAUAAUUAACAUUAAUUUAUGAAUAAAUGAUCCAUUAAUAUUGAUUAAAAGAAAAAAUUACCUUAGGGAUAACAGCGUAAUUUUUUUUUUUAGUUCAAAUAGGAAAAAAAGUUUGCGACCUCGAUGUUGGAUUAAGAUAAAAUUUAAAUGCAAAAGUUUAAAAUUUUGAUCUG